Long non-coding RNA from Cyprinus carpio carpio, 1471 nucleotides. Lineage: Eukaryota; Metazoa; Chordata; Actinopteri; Cypriniformes; Cyprinidae. The record is from Ensembl.
AGACCAAAGGUGGAAAAGAACUUAAUCAGACUCUUAAUAAUUGUCUUAGCUGUAAUUAUCCGGAGAGGAAUAGCCUCCGGGUACCGAGUGGCGCUGCACAUAAUGGUAAGCAGAAACUGGUUACCUGUUCGAGUUUUUGGUAAUGGACCCACACAGUCAACAAUCACCCUCUCAAACGGUUCUCCAAUCACAGGAAUCGGGUGAAGUGGCACACGAGGAACAGGUUGGUUCACUUUCCCUGCAAGUUGACAUACAUGACAGGUUUUACAGUAUUGCACAAUGUCUGAUUUUAAUUCUGGCCAGAAGAAAUGUCGGAGGACUCUGUUGUAUGUUUUAGUUACCCCUAAAUGUCCGGACCAUGCAGGGUUAUGAGCCAGUGACAAUACUUGCUGCCGUAAUGGUGAUGGAACAACUACCUGCCAAACUGUAUCCCAGUCCUCACCUGUUUUAUGUGCAGUCCAUUUACGCAUUAGAACACCAGCGUCCACAAGCCUCUCUGAUGUGAUGGAUGACAACACAUCACCUAACUGGGGAGCGACCCCGCAUCCCCCUUUCUCAGCCUGCACAGAAGGAACAGUAGGAGGGUCUGAAAAUCGUGAUGCACCGACCACUGGUGAAGCGGAUGUCCUGCUCUGACUGGAUGCUGUAAACACCAUUUUAUGUGUUAAGGCAUAUUCAUCUGCCAGGACCGCUGCCUGACCCAACGUCGCCACCUUCUUUUCACUAAGAUGCAUCACAAUUCUUUCAGACGGGCCGUUUUCAGCUUCAACCGAGCGACCUCUACAGACUCGGGGGACACAGGAGACAACGGGUCAUACUUUGGCAGAGUUCGAGGCACCGGAGUUUCCCCACCUCCCACACCGCCCCUCAACCGUGCAGGCGAGGGAUUUUCUACGGCACCCUCGUCCUCCCUCUCAUCCUCUGUUUCCACAUCCUCCACAGCCAUAACUCCUACCCUUGACAGACUCAAUAAAUGGUUUUUGAUCACCAUUACUAAAUUUGCUUUACGAGCCUGCCUAUCAACUGUAAUUUUGUAGUAGUCCACUAGCGCUAACAAAUCAACCUUACGCAGAUUAACCAAUGAACCCAAUGAGGGCUCCGCAAUAAAGCCUGCCACAUCUGAAGUAGCCGCCAUGCUCACACCUCAUCCAGUACAAUCCUGCACUACUCAGUACUCAAACACCACAAACUACAAAUACUAACAAACUACACGACAGAACAACAACUACUAUACUUUACUCACACCCCAACACCACACCCCAAUCACCGAGCACAGGGCAAUCCGAGCAGCGGGGCGCCCAGAUCCCGGACGAGCCCCCAUUUGUUACGUUCUAACUCCCAAAAGGGAGGGGAGCCUGACAACCCCCUGCUCGGGCCCACCGAUGCCAGCGAAGGAGGUAUGGAGUCGCAGUGCGAGAAAAGGACACAAACACCAAAUACCGUAUAAAAACAAAGCUUUUAUUUGGCCACG